This 249-nucleotide ribosomal RNA is filed under the name uncultured bacterium. Its description in RNAcentral is "partial 16S ribosomal RNA". It matches the Rfam family "Bacterial small subunit ribosomal RNA", at positions 1242 to 1500 of the family's 1533-position model. The record is from RNAcentral.
AAGAGCAAGCGAGACCGCGAGGUGGAGCGAAUCUCAAAAACCGAUCCCAGUUCGGAUUGCAGGCUGCAACUCGCCUGCAUGAAGUCGGAGUUGCUAGUAAUCGUGGAUCAGAAUGCCACGGUGAAUGCGUUCCCGGGUCUUGUACACACCGCCCGUCACACCAUGGAAGUUGGGGGCGCCCGAAGUUGGUCGAAAGAUAGAUUACCUAAGGCGAAAUCAAUGACUGGGGUGAAGUCGUAACAAGGUAGC